This 500-nucleotide ribosomal RNA is filed under the name uncultured bacterium. RNAcentral's name for it is "bacterial SSU rRNA". It matches the Rfam family "Bacterial small subunit ribosomal RNA", at positions 903 to 1397 of the family's 1533-position model. The record is from RNAcentral.
AAAGGAAUAGACGGGGGCUCACACAAGCGGUGGAGGAUGUGGCUUAAUUCGAGGCUACGCGAAGAACCUUAUCCAGGCCUUGACAUGCACGGAUCAACCCUGUGAAAGCAGGGCCACGCCUUCGGGUGGAACGUGCACAGGUGCUGCAUGGCUGUCGUCAGCUCGUGUCGUGAGAUGUCGGGUUAAGUCCCUUAACGAGCGAAACCCUUAUUGCUAGUUGCCAGCGAGUCAUGUCGGGGACUCUAGCAAGACUGCCGGUGUUAAACCGGAGGAAGGUGGGGAUGACGUCAAGUCCUCAUGGCCUUUAUGGUCUGGGCUGCACACGUCCUACAAUGGCAUAUACAAAGGGAAGCGAACUCGCGAGAGUAAGCAAAUCUCAGAAAGUAUGCCCCAGUUCGGAUUGCAGGCUGCAACUCGCCUGCAUGAAGCCGGAAUCGCUAGUAAUCGCCGGUCAGCAUACGGCGGUGAAUAUGUUCCUGAGCCUUGUACACACCGCCCGU